This 156-nucleotide ribosomal RNA is filed under the name uncultured bacterium. Its description in RNAcentral is "partial 16S ribosomal RNA". It matches the Rfam family "Bacterial small subunit ribosomal RNA", at positions 1345 to 1500 of the family's 1533-position model. The record is from RNAcentral.
CGGAUCAGAAUGCCGCGGUGAAUACGUUCCCGGGUCUUGUACACACCGCCCGUCACACCAUGGGAGUCGGAAAUGCCCGAAGUCAGUGACCCAACCAUACGGAGGGAGCUGCCGAAGGCAGGUCCGGUAACUGGGGUGAAGUCGUAACAAGGUAGC